This 446-nucleotide ribosomal RNA is filed under the name uncultured bacterium. Its description in RNAcentral is "partial 16S ribosomal RNA". It matches the Rfam family "Bacterial small subunit ribosomal RNA", at positions 338 to 795 of the family's 1533-position model. The record is from RNAcentral.
UCUACGCGUGGCAGCAGUAGGGAAUUUUCGGCAAUGGGGGGAACCCUGACCGAGCAACGCCGCGUGAACGAAGAAGUUAUUCGUAAUGUAAAGUUCUUUUAACAGGGAAGAAAGAGAAAUUUGACGGUACCUGAAGAAUGAGCUCCGGCUAACUACGUGCCAGCAGCCGCGGUAAUACGUAGGGAGCGAGCGUUAUCCGGAAUUAUUGGGCGUAAAGGGUGCGUAGAUGGCAUAGUAAAUCUUUUAUAACAAAGCUGGGCUCAACCCAGUAGGGCAAAAGAUACUGCAAAGCUAGAGUAUGACAGAGGAAAGUGGAACUACAUGUGUAGCGGUAAAAUGCGUAAAUAUAUGUGAGAGCACCAGUGGCGAAGGCGACUUGCUGGGUCGAUACUGACAUUGAGGCACGAAGGCGUGGGGAGCAAACAGGAUUUGAUACCCUUGUAGUC